RNAcentral lists this ribosomal RNA (483 nucleotides) under Microbacterium sp. TW55C. RNAcentral describes it as "bacterial SSU rRNA". It matches the Rfam family "Bacterial small subunit ribosomal RNA", at positions 34 to 528 of the family's 1533-position model. Lineage: Bacteria; Bacillati; Actinomycetota; Actinomycetes; Micrococcales; Microbacteriaceae. The record is from RNAcentral.
GCGAUUUCGCCGUGCUUACCAUGCAAGUCGAACGAUGAACCCGAAGCUUGCUUUGGGGGAUUAGUGGCGAACGGGUGAGUAACACGUGAGCAACCUGCCCCUCACUCUGGGAUAAGCGCUGGAAACGGCGUCUAAUACUGGAUACGAGACGCGACCGCAUGGUCAGUGUCUGGAAAGAUUUUUUGGUGGGGGAUGGGCUCGCGGCCUAUCAGCUUGUUGGUGAGGUAAUGGCUCACCAAGGCGUCGACGGGUAGCCGGCCUGAGAGGGUGACCGGCCACACUGGGACUGAGACACGGCCCAGACUCCUACGGGAGGCAGCAGUGGGGAAUAUUGCACAAUGGGCGGAAGCCUGAUGCAGCAACGCCGCGUGAGGGAUGACGGCCUUCGGGUUGUAAACCUCUUUUAGCAGGGAAGAAGCGAAAGUGACGGUACCUGCAGAAAAAGCACCGGCUAACUACGUGCCAGCAGCGGCGGUAAUACUG